AACGAAGGCUUCGGCCUUAGUGGCGCACGGGUGCGUAACGCGUGGGAAUCUGCCCUCAGGUUCGGAAUAACAGCGAGAAAUUGCUGCUAAUACCGGAUGAUAUCGCGAGAUCAAAGAUUUAUCGCCUGAGGAUGAGCCCGCGUAGGAUUAGCUAGUUGGUGUGGUAAAGGCGCACCAAGGCGACGAUCCUUAGCUGGUCUGAGAGGAUGAUCAGCCACACUGGGACUGAGACACGGCCCAGACUCCUACGGGAGGCAGCAGUGGGGAAUAUUGGACAAUGGGCGAAAGCCUGAUCCAGCAAUGCCGCGUGAGUGAUGAAGGCCUUAGGGUUGUAAAGCUCUUUUACCCGGGAUGAUAAUGACAGUACCGGGAGAGUAAGCUCCGGCUAACUCCGUGCCAGCAGCCGCGGUAAUACGGAGGGAGCUAGCGUUAUUCG
Molecule: ribosomal RNA, 436 nt
Filed under: uncultured Sphingomonas sp.
Lineage: Bacteria; Pseudomonadati; Pseudomonadota; Alphaproteobacteria; Sphingomonadales; Sphingomonadaceae
Description: bacterial SSU rRNA
Rfam family: Bacterial small subunit ribosomal RNA
Source: RNAcentral